RNAcentral lists this ribosomal RNA (253 nucleotides) under uncultured bacterium. RNAcentral describes it as "partial 16S ribosomal RNA". It matches the Rfam family "Bacterial small subunit ribosomal RNA", at positions 15 to 263 of the family's 1533-position model. The record is from RNAcentral.
GAUCCUGGCUCAGGACGAACGCUGGCGGCGCGCCUAACACAUGCAAGUCGAACGAGCGAGAGAGAGUUUACUUUUUCGAGCGAGUGGCGAACGGGUGAGUAACGCGUGAGGAACCUGCCUCAAAGAGGGGGACAACAGUUGGAAACGACUGCUAAUACCGCAUAAGCCCACGACCCGGCAUCGGGUAGGGGGAAAAGGAGCAAUCCGCUUUGAGAUGGCCUCGCGUCCGAUUAGCUAGUUGGUGAGGUAACGG